UUCGAGGGCGAUCCUUUGAACUGCAGGAUUCGAAUUAAAUUUGGUUCGUCGUUAUCGAAAACGUUCCUUCUUUCCUUCUGCCUAGGUGUGCAUACAAGCUAAAAUUGGAUUUCGCGGUGCGCCGACUGGCCCACUUAUUGUCCAAUAAUGGCCUUCCAUACGGAUCGGAAAGUCUGUAUAGAGAUCGAGAACACACUUGCUACAUCUAAUUUGCCGGAGUACCAAUGUGAACUGUGAACCCAAAAACCGUCAUUGUUGCAUAACCGUAAUCGAUUCCACUUCCACCCUGAAACAACAUCGAAUUGAGAAAAAUCAAUUUUUACUGAUUACCCUCGCACGGAACGAGACCCCAAUUUUCCUAAAUUGAAAUUUACAUAUAUAUGUCCUGGAAUAAAGAAACGUGGAUAAAUAUUGUUCAAAGGUCUCCAAGACAAUGUAAAAGCUAUCCUUCGUUACUCUUCUUUACCUCCAUCUUCACCUAUUCAUCAAUAACAUCGACAAACAUCAUCUACAAGCUGCACCCCUUACACCAAAAUCAACGGAGUCAUGAAAAUUAUCGCCGAUGCGACUGUCCAACAGCGGCAAAUCUCUGAGACUUCUGGAAUACUACAACCUUUUUCGUUUUGAUCAUAUCCGGUGGACCGGUAUGAUUGUCCACGAUUGGCUUAUUGCACGGACAUCAGGAAUACAACAACCUUCUCCCCGUAGAUGCUACCUGUUUACAGCAAUAAAUCUCAUCAGUUAGUUAAAUAAAUAGAACUGCCACUGCAAAGCGAUGUCCGUUGAAAUUAUAAUUCAUUGAUUACGAGGCUUAACCGCAAUCAACACCUAACUGAGCGUCAUUUGUACACGUUAUCACCAAAACUACGUAACAAUUAUACAAAUUGCUAUUAAUCAUCCUUUCUUCCUCAAUUUAUUUUCAGGAAUUAUAGAAGCUAU
Molecule: long non-coding RNA, 939 nt
Organism: Nicrophorus vespilloides
Lineage: Eukaryota; Metazoa; Arthropoda; Insecta; Coleoptera; Silphidae
Exons: 3
Source: RefSeq, a predicted model, not a curated record